CAAGAUCGAACUGAAGAGUUUGAUCCUGGCUCAGAUUGAACGCUGGCGGCAUGCCUUACACAUGCAAGUCGAACGGUAACGCGGGGCAACCUGGCGACGAGUGGCGAA
RNAcentral lists this ribosomal RNA (108 nucleotides) under Rubrivivax sp. Its description in RNAcentral is "partial 16S ribosomal RNA". It matches the Rfam family "Bacterial small subunit ribosomal RNA", at positions 1 to 102 of the family's 1533-position model. Lineage: Bacteria; Pseudomonadati; Pseudomonadota; Betaproteobacteria; Burkholderiales; Sphaerotilaceae. The record is from RNAcentral.